This 586-nucleotide long non-coding RNA is filed under the name Prunus persica (peach). RNAcentral describes it as "long non-coding RNA (PPER_LNC005365)". The record is from RNAcentral. Lineage: Eukaryota; Viridiplantae; Streptophyta; Magnoliopsida; Rosales; Rosaceae.
UCCUACUUGGUCCUGUCUGGUUUCCUCUUGGUGGUGCUUAUUGAGCAGGCGGAGCAGCCUGGUUUCCGGUGACGUUUCUCAGCGACUGUUGUCGUGGUGCAUUUCUUCCACCAGCUUGAUUCCGAUGUGGACAGUUAGGUCUAAUGUGGCCUUCUUCGCCACACGCAUUGCAGGUAGUGGCACGGUUCUUCUUUGGAGUUGGUUCCUUGCUACUAGAACCUUCAUCUUUCUUUUCCCCAAAGCACAUUUUCUUGGAAUUGUUUCUUCUUCGAUCCUCAACUCUCCCCGGGUGUAGGUUUCUUCUCUGGCUUAAGAGAUAGUCUUACUCCAGCACAUGUGCAUUAUUCACCAUCUCUUGGUAUGUUUGAUCUCCUUGAGCUGUCACAUGUCGGCAAAUAUCGUCCCCGAGGCCUUGUCGAAACCUCGUCGACUUCAUUUCUUCGUCCGCCAUUAAGGUAGGUGCAAAGCGUACUAGGUCAGUGAACUUUGCUAUCCGUCAUCUUGCCUUGUUCAAGGGUGAACAAUUCCUAGAUCUUAGUUUGUUUAAAAGCGGUAGGAAAAUACUGGUUGAGAAAGUAUCUUUCAA